GACGAACGCUGGCGGCGUGCUUAACACAUGCAAGUCGAACGGAAAGGCCCUGCUUUUGUGGGGUGCUCGAGUGGCGAACGGGUGAGUAACACGUGAGUAACCUGCCCUUGACUUUGGGAUAACUUCAGGAAACUGGGGCUAAUACCGGAUAGGAGCUCCUGCUGCAUGGUGGGGGUUGGAAAGUUUCGGCGGUUGGGGAUGGACUCGCGGCUUAUCAGCUUGUUGGUGGGGUAGUGGCUUACCAAGGCUUUGACGGGUAGCCGGCCUGAGAGGGUGACCGGCCACAUUGGGACUGAGAUACGGCCCAGACUGCUACGGGAGGCAGCAGUGGGGAAUAGUGCAAAAUGGGCGGAAGCCUGAUGCAGCAACGCCGCGUGCGGGAUGACGGCCUUCGGGUUGUAAACCGCUUUCGCCUGUGACGAAGCGUGAGUGACGGUAAUGGGUAAAGAAGCACCGGCUAACUACGUG
Molecule: ribosomal RNA, 468 nt
Filed under: uncultured bacterium
Lineage: Bacteria
Description: partial 16S ribosomal RNA
Rfam family: Bacterial small subunit ribosomal RNA
Source: RNAcentral